CGUGCACUCAUGCUCAAACCAAGGCUGCAUUUUUUUUAUACUCUAGAAGCAUCUACAUUUUUCUCCACUCUUCCAAUGAAAAUAAAUAAAUAUCUCAUUUGCAUCAGUUUUCUUAGAUUUUCAAGACUAAAGGGUUAAGACAUUUAGUGUUUCCAGACAGUUCAUCUUGCCAUUGUUUCAAGUUUGUUUAGUUUUUUGGUUCUUUCAGUUUCAGAAUUAUCACUUCGUUGCGGUAUUUGUUCGCUCCUGUGUUUCACUUUUCUCUCGGUGUGUGAUAUUUCAACAUGGCGGAAAGAUAUACCAUCAAUAUGAUCACUCCAACUACUAAAAAUUGGACAUGUAAGGUCCAAGUUGUUGAUAAAAGUCGACCAAGGGACAACAAAGAUAAAACCACAAAAUACCAACUCUUAAUUCUACAAGAUGAAGAGGAGAAUCAAGUUCAGGCCACUAUUUUCAGUAUUGAUAUAACAUAUUUUGAAAAAGAAUUUGCUCCUUUCAAGACUUACUUGGUAUCUAUUGCAUUUGUGAAAGAACCACUUCUUGGAUAUGAAAAUCCACUUAACAAAUUCAUUUGGACACUCGAUAAAAACACCAUUGUUGAACCAGUUGAAGAGGUCAAACCUCCAGAGGAUCCAUUACCACCACCAACCCGACUAGCUGUUGCCACAUUUGACACUUUUGAGUAUCAACCCAAAGAAUUUGAAUUUGGUAUUUAUAAACAAAUAAGAAUGGAAGUUUGUCGAAACAGAAUAUUCCUAGGAGUUUCUUUAUUGGUUCUUUUUGGUAGACAUUAUUCUGGUUUAUGCUACAUCCGUUGGUCUUCUCUACUUUCAUGGUUUGAGUUGAAAUUUAAUUUCAAGUUGCUUUGGAUUACCUUUUACAUUGAUAAACAUAUAUAUAUACAUAUAUAUAUAUAUAUAUAUUUCUAUAUUGGAGCUUUGUAUAAUGUAUAUAUGUUGAGGGAUGCUACGUUGAUUGUAUAAUUCAGUUUUGUUGUGCAUAAAAUACAACGAAAUCCUUGUUCAACAGUUUUUAAGGGAUUUCUUGCAUUAAUUCUUACCUCGUGGUGCUCUCGUGCAUGUGCAUGUCCAUAUACAGAUAGACAAAGAACGAAAGGACUAUGCAAAAGAAGUUUGGUAUUAGGGAAAGAUUGGUAUUUUCAGUGGGUCUAGCUUUCUUAUAACUUUUGUAUGAACUACCUUAUUACAUGAUGAUGGUUGUACUUUUAGGAGUGUUAUUGUUUGUUUUUGCAAAGAUUGUCUUUUUCUUCUUCUUUUUGGUUUGUUUGUGCAUCUUCCCCUCUCUUUUGUUUAAGUAAUGUAAUUGAAUGCCUUGUCCCUUUGAAUCAUUCUGAAAUAAAGGUUCAAUUUUUAUAAGGAUUGAUCUUCUUCCUAAUUUCUUCCUGCCCUUUUUAUUUUAGAUAAAUUAACUUCCCAAUAUUGUGGACAUAGUCUGUUAAAGGGGAAUAUACUGCUUACCCUAUUUGAUUUAUUUCCUCUGCUAUGAUUUUGUGUUAUUUCUUAAAGAUCAACAUUGAAUUUUGAUCAACAGCUAAUGAUAUCCAAGUUUAUUGAGGUUCCUGGUAGAUAUUGAGUUCUUGUCAUGGUGUAUUUCUUUUUCAUACCUACUUUGAUUUGUUGUACUCGUAGGGAUAAGAUUUGCGAUCACUCUGCCUCCCCUUAACCCACAUGUUUGAUUUCACUAGGUUGUUGUUUGAGUUUUUCCGUCUUUCCACGAAAAUUUCAUUUUUUAUUUAUUAAUUAAGCAGUUUUAAACUAAGUUCUCGAUAAGUAACUCUUACAAAGUUGGAAAAACCAUGUUUGAGGUUUUAUAUCUUCUCCUUUAUUAGUCUCUCAUAUGUUCAUCUGCUUAUGAUAUUGAUAAUAGUAAGUCGAUCACCUUAGAACCAAUACCAAAGAUGUUUAUGUUGCAGUCCAUAUUGUAUGUAGUUGAUCAAUUUCACUGUCUUAUAUUCUGACUUUUAUAGGACAAAAAUGUUGGUAUUUUUUUUAUAAUAAUCUAAUUUGAAUUUUAUUAUUUAUAAUAUAAUGUUUUUACAAUAUCACAUAUCUUCUAUAAUUUUAUUUUAAUAUUUGAAAACAUCCUUCAGAGCAUAUGCAGGAAAAAACCAACAAAACUAACACUUUGGGAGGACUUUAUUGAUCAUGAGGGUGUUAAACUUUUCAAUCAACUUCAUGAUUACCCGAUCAUUCUUGCUAGGAGAAUUGGGAAAUCAUCCUCAGGAACGUCAAAUAGAUUCGUUGGUUUGACGAGCAAAUUCAAUACUACAAUUGAAAUCAAUCCUCCAUAUCCACAGGCUGCUGAGUUAAGGACAUGGAUCAAAACAAUUGAAACAAAGCUUGUUGCUUAUAAGAUGAAAAGUACAACUCUAAUAGGCUCUAUUAUGUUGAUUCCAUUUGAGGAUGAGGUUAUAUCUGUGGCUAACAUCCAAGCAAAACCUCCGGGACAAGUAUUUAAUGUUGAGGCUGAAUUGUCCCUUCCAAGUAAGGAUCAACUCUUUAGUGUGUUAGCAUGCUCAAAUUGUAAGCAAUUGUUCACAAGAUAUAAUGUGUGAAGGGAAAUCUACUGCACAAGUUGUCACCGAUCCACACAUCUUAUUCCUAGAUGUCAAUUUGAAGUUACUAUUAAGGACAACAACGGUUUUGCAACAGCUAUUGUUUCGGAUGAAAUUGCAGAGAAAUUGUUGCACCUCACUUCAGAAGAAAUUUAUGAAAUUUUCUUCGUCAAGAAAGAAACAUUAUUGCUCCAAAAUGUGGAAGAUCAAUUGAACGGCAAGAUAUUCAACAUUCAAAUGAAAAGGCUAUUCACAAAAAAAUUGGAUGCAAUGCAAAAAUUAUCCAUUUUGUCUUACCUGGAGAAACAAGAUGUGAUUCAUAAACCAAUGACAUCUACGACAGUCAAUGUUACAGAUGCAAAAAAAGCGCACAAUUGAACAUCUUAGUUCAGGGAAAAAAGAAUAUCCAAGCAUGGCAAACAAAUAUAAUCCUUCCACCCACAAACAUAGCAUGGAAAUGAAAAAUCAUCCCAUGAAAAAGAAUUAAAAGUUGGAACACUUUUUGUUGUGGUUCUUGAAGUGAUUUUUUUGGAACUCUGUUGUUGCUGCCACUGGAUGUUGUGUUUUGCAAGCUUUUGAUGUUGCUAUGUGGAUGUCUUAUGCCCUGUUCUUUUGUAGAAAUUGAAAAUAUGUUCUCCUCUGGUAACAGGUGAUUUUGAUUUUAAAAAAAUGGUCCAGAAGAUCCAAGCAUGAAAGAUGCAUCUACUUUUGUCUAAUUUAAAAUAGUACGUAAAUGUAUGUAAUUAGCACUCCCA
Solanum tuberosum (potato) is the source of this 3330-nucleotide long non-coding RNA. RefSeq lists it as uncharacterized. The transcript has 12 exons. The record is from RefSeq and is a predicted model, not a curated record. Lineage: Eukaryota; Viridiplantae; Streptophyta; Magnoliopsida; Solanales; Solanaceae.